UGUCUAAUGGUAUUAUAAUCAAGGCUUAUAGUAUUAAAGUAAUAGACUAUUUUAUAAAUGGAAAUGUUUGAACUACACUGACAUCUACCAUCACCUCAUGCAUCCUCAUCAUCCUUUGCUCGUUGCCUCAGUACAGAGAACAUGGUGGACACCAGUGUCAGAUGCGAGGGAGUCAAGAGAUUGUGGAUACUCCAGCAGAUUUUAAAUCUGACAUGAGGGGAACUUUUAGUUUUCCUGUGUUCAAAAAUGACAAAGGAGAAAAGGUGACAGACACUGCUUUAACAAUAUGAAGACACUGCCAGACUGUGGUGACAUACACAAAAGGGAAUAUGAGUAAUAUGAGAGCCACUUAGGCAAAUCAUCACCCUGAAAAGGUGAUGAUGAUGAUCACAUUUUCAAAGCAUUCGACUCCCUGGCACAUGUGUAACCCAGGUUAAUUAAAUUGAAUUUGAUAUUAGCCCUCUAUUUUUUUUCCUUUUCAGAGGGGAGUGACCUCAGUGAACCUCCAUAACUUAUGAUUAAUUGGUUUUCAUUUUAUUUUGUAUUUAUUUAUUUCCCUCAUUUUUUUUUCUUAACAUCCCAUAAUCUCACCUGAACUCCGCUAAAAUCUUCAACCAAUCAGAACUCCUCCCACUUAUCAUAAACAUCCGGUUCACGAGAGACAGAAUUGUUUGGUUGCCCAAGACGGGACAACGAGUUUAUGAUUUACACAGCGGUCAGGUUUUUUGUGUAUGAACCUUACACCGUGGAGAUGGCGAGCUAAAACCUACGAGAGCAACCCUGCCUACACGUUGGUAGGAUCUAAAAAGACAUUCGAACACGGAUCGAAAGAUAUUUACUUUUUUUUGUUUUUUUGAUGGACCCAAGAAGCGUUUUCUGAUUAAGAGGAUAUUUAUGUUGGUUGUUUGAACUUAUUGUUUUGUUAUAUUGGAAGUAUUUUUUAUGUGAAAUACAAAAAAUAUUAUUUAAAUUUA
Long non-coding RNA from Labrus mixtus (cuckoo wrasse), 974 nucleotides. RefSeq lists it as uncharacterized. The record is from RefSeq and is a predicted model, not a curated record. The transcript has 2 exons. NCBI's taxonomy places the organism in Eukaryota, Metazoa, Chordata, Actinopteri, Labriformes, Labridae.